This 787-nucleotide ribosomal RNA is filed under the name uncultured bacterium. RNAcentral's name for it is "bacterial SSU rRNA". It matches the Rfam family "Bacterial small subunit ribosomal RNA", at positions 86 to 861 of the family's 1533-position model. The record is from RNAcentral.
GAAUGGAAAGUGGCGUAAGGGUGAGUACCUGGGUAAUUUACCUUCACGCUGGGGAUAACUUCUCGAAAGGGAGUAAUGUGAUUGAAGUAACUUCGGUUAUUUCAAUUAAAGGUGGGGACCUUCGGGCCUACCGUGUGAAGAUCAGCCCGCGCCCUAUUAGCUUGUUGGUGAGGUAACGGCUCACCAAGGCGACGAUGGGUAGCCGACCUGAGAGGGUGACCGGCCACACUGGGACUGAGACACUGCCCAGACUCCUACGGGAGGCUGCAGUCGAGAAUCGUUCGCAAUAGGCGAAAGCCUGACGACGCAAUGCCGCGUGUAUGAAGAAGGCCUUCGGGUUGUAAAAUACUUUGAGCAGGGAAGAAAGCUUACAUGUUAAUAGCAAGUAAGUUUGACGGUACCUGCAGAACAAGCCCCGGCUAAAUUCGUGCCAGCAGCCGCGGUAAUACGAAUGGGGCAAGCGUUGUUCGGAUUAACUGGGCGUAAAGGGGGUCUAGGUUGUUUACUAAGUUUCCUGUGAAACCCGGAGCUCAACUCCGUGGAUUGCAGGGAAAACUAUUAACUAGAGUGUGCGAGAUGCGUGCGGAAAUACUGGGUGUAGCGGGUGAAAAUGCGUAGAUAUCCAGUAGAACACCAGCGGCGAAAGCGGCCCGCAUGCGCACUACUGACACUGAAGCCCGAAAGCGUGGGGAGCGAACAGGAUUAGAUACCCUGGUAGUCCACGCCGUAAACGAUGUGCACUAGAUGUGGGUGGUGUCGACCCUACCCGUGUCGUAGCUAACGCGUU